GAUGAAGAACGCAGCGAAAUGCGAUAAGUAAUGUGAAUUGCAGAAUUCAGUGAAUCAUCGAAUCUUUGAACGCAUCUUGCGCUCCUUGGUAUUCCGAGGAGCAUGCCUGUUUGAGUGUCAUUUAACUUCUCAACCAGACAUCAGAUUAUCUUUUGAUGCUUGGCUUGGAUCUGGGGGUUGUUUGCAGGCCUUCUUGUUCAAGGAGGUCGGCUCCCCUGAAAUGUAUUAGUGGUAUCUGAGGCUAUUGCUAUUAGUUGUGAUAAUUAUCUAUGUCUUUUGGCAUGCCCCAUGAACAGAUUACACUGCUUCCAACAAAAAAAAAACAAUUUUGAUGAAUUUGACCUCAAAUCAGGUAGGACUACCCGCUGAACUUAAGCAUAUCAAUAAGCGGAGGA
Molecule: unclassified non-coding RNA, 395 nt
Filed under: soil metagenome
Description: partial contains 5.8S ribosomal RNA, internal transcribed spacer 2, and large subunit ribosomal RNA
Rfam family: 5.8S ribosomal RNA (bases 1-120)
Source: RNAcentral